CACGUGGGCAACCUACCUUAUAGUUUGGGAUAACUCCGGGAAACCGGGGCUAAUACCGAAUAAUCUAUUUCCCCUCAUGAGGAAAUACUGAAAGACGGUUUCGGCUGUCGCUAUAAGAUGGGCCCGCGGCGCAUUAGCUAGUUGGUGAGGUAACGGCUCACCAAGGCGACGAUGCGUAGCCGACCUGAGAGGGUGAUCGGCCACACUGGGACUGAGACACGGCCCAGACUCCUACGGGAGGCAGCAGUAGGGAAUCUUCCACAAUGGGCGAAAGCCUGAUGGAGCAACGCCGCGUGAGUG
RNAcentral lists this ribosomal RNA (300 nucleotides) under uncultured Lysinibacillus sp. RNAcentral describes it as "bacterial SSU rRNA". It matches the Rfam family "Bacterial small subunit ribosomal RNA", at positions 114 to 407 of the family's 1533-position model. The record is from RNAcentral. Lineage: Bacteria; Bacillati; Bacillota; Bacilli; Caryophanales; Bacillaceae.